AUACGUAGGGUGCGAGCGUUGUCCGGAAUUACUGGGCGUAAAGAGCUCGUAGGUGGUUUGUCGCGUCGUCUGUGAAAUUCCGGGGCUUAACUCCGGGCGUGCAGGCGAUACGGGCAUAACUUGAGUACUGUAGGGGAGACUGGAUUUCCUGGGGUAGCGGGGAAAUGCGCAGAUAUCAGGAGGAACACCGGGGGCGAAGGCGGUUCUCUGGGCAGUAACUGACGCUGAGGAGCGAAAGCGUGGGUAGCGAACAGGAUUAGAUACCCUGGUAGUCCAUGCCGUAAACGGUGGGCGCUAGGUGUAGGGGUCUUCCACGACUUCUGUGCCGUAGCUAACGCAUUAAGCGCCCCGCCUGGGGAGUACGGCCGCAAGGCUAAAACUCAAAGGAAUUGACGGGG
Molecule: ribosomal RNA, 398 nt
Filed under: uncultured bacterium
Lineage: Bacteria
Description: partial 16S ribosomal RNA
Rfam family: Bacterial small subunit ribosomal RNA
Source: RNAcentral